This 1421-nucleotide ribosomal RNA is filed under the name Staphylococcus aureus. RNAcentral describes it as "bacterial SSU rRNA". It matches the Rfam family "Bacterial small subunit ribosomal RNA". Lineage: Bacteria; Bacillati; Bacillota; Bacilli; Caryophanales; Staphylococcaceae. The record is from RNAcentral.
AAGACUGGGAUAACUUCGGGAAACCGGAGCUAAUACCGGAUAAUAUUUUGAACCGCAUGGUUCAAAAGUGAAAGACGGUCUUGCUGUCACUUAUAGAUGGAUCCGCGCUGCAUUAGCUAGUUGGUAAGGUAACGGCUUACCAAGGCAACGAUGCAUAGCCGACCUGAGAGGGUGAUCGGCCACACUGGAACUGAGACACGGUCCAGACUCCUACGGGAGGCAGCAGUAGGGAAUCUUCCGCAAUGGGCGAAAGCCUGACGGAGCAACGCCGCGUGAGUGAUGAAGGUCUUCGGAUCGUAAAACUCUGUUAUUAGGGAAGAACAUAUGUGUAAGUAACUGUGCACAUCUUGACGGUACCUAAUCAGAAAGCCACGGCUAACUACGUGCCAGCAGCCGCGGUAAUACGUAGGUGGCAAGCGUUAUCCGGAAUUAUUGGGCGUAAAGCGCGCGUAGGCGGUUUUUUAAGUCUGAUGUGAAAGCCCACGGCUCAACCGUGGAGGGUCAUUGGAAACUGGAAAACUUGAGUGCAGAAGAGGAAAGUGGAAUUCCAUGUGUAGCGGUGAAAUGCGCAGAGAUAUGGAGGAACACCAGUGGCGAAGGCGACUUUCUGGUCUGUAACUGACGCUGAUGUGCGAAAGCGUGGGGAUCAAACAGGAUUAGAUACCCUGGUAGUCCACGCCGUAAACGAUGAGUGCUAAGUGUUAGGGGGUUUCCGCCCCUUAGUGCUGCAGCUAACGCAUUAAGCACUCCGCCUGGGGAGUACGACCGCAAGGUUGAAACUCAAAGGAAUUGACGGGGACCCGCACAAGCGGUGGAGCAUGUGGUUUAAUUCGAAGCAACGCGAAGAACCUUACCAAAUCUUGACAUCCUUUGACAACUCUAGAGAUAGAGCUUUCCCCUUCGGGGGACAAAGUGACAGGUGGUGCAUGGUUGUCGUCAGCUCGUGUCGUGAGAUGUUGGGUUAAGUCCCGCAACGAGCGCAACCCUUAAGCUUAGUUGCCAUCAUUAAGUUGGGCACUCUAAGUUGACUGCCGGUGACAAACCGGAGGAAGGUGGGGAUGACGUCAAAUCAUCAUGCCCCUUAUGAUUUGGGCUACACACGUGCUACAAUGGACAAUACAAAGGGCAGCGAAACCGUGAGGUCAAGCAAAUCCCAUAAAGUUGUUCUCAGUUCGGAUUGUAGUCUGCAACUCGACUACAUGAAGCUGGAAUCGCUAGUAAUCGUAGAUCAGCAUGCUACGGUGAAUACGUUCCCGGGUCUUGUACACACCGCCCGUCACACCACGAGAGUUUGUAACACCCGAAGCCGGUGGAGUAACCUUUUAGGAGCUAGCCGUCGAAGGUGGGACAAAUGAUUGGGGUGAAGUCGUAACAAGGUAGCCGUAUCGGAAGGUGCGGCUGGAUCACCUCCUUUCUAAGGA